This 408-nucleotide ribosomal RNA is filed under the name uncultured bacterium. RNAcentral describes it as "partial 16S ribosomal RNA". It matches the Rfam family "Bacterial small subunit ribosomal RNA", at positions 28 to 526 of the family's 1533-position model. The record is from RNAcentral.
GACGAACGCUGGCGGCGUGCUUAACACAUGCAAGUCGAACGAAGUGGCGAACGGGUGAGUAACGCGUAAUCAACCUGCCCUUCAGAGGGGGACAACAGUUGGAAACGACUGCUAAUACCGCAUACUGAAGGCGGGGAUUGCGUGGGAUUAGCUAGUUGGAGGGGAAACGGCCCACCAAGGCGAUGAUCAGUAGCCGGUCUGAGGUGAUGAACGGCCACAUUGGUACUGAGAAACUGCCCAGACUACUACGGGAGGCAGCAGUGGGGAAUCUGCCGCAAUGGACGAAAGUCUGACGGAGCAACGCCGCGUGAGUGAUGACGGCCUUCGGGUUGUAAAGCUCUGUUAAGCGGGACGCGGUACCGGAAUAGAAAGCCACGGCUAACUACGUGCCAGCAGCCGCGGUAAUAC